RNAcentral lists this ribosomal RNA (253 nucleotides) under uncultured bacterium. Its description in RNAcentral is "partial 16S ribosomal RNA". It matches the Rfam family "Bacterial small subunit ribosomal RNA", at positions 524 to 776 of the family's 1533-position model. The record is from RNAcentral.
UACGGAGGGGGCAAACGUUGUUCGGAAUUACUGGGCGUAAAGGGUGCGUAGGCGGUUCGGCAAGUCUGAUGUGAAAUCUCCUCGCUCAACGAGGAAACGGCAUUGGAAACUGCCGGGCUGGAGGAUGGGAGAGGCAGGUGGAAUUCCUGGUGUAGCGGUGGAAUGCGUAGAUAUCAGGAAGAACACUCGUGGCGAAGGCGGCCUGCUGGCCCAUUUCUGACGCUCAAGCACGAAAGCCAGGGGAGCAAACGGG